CUUGCUUAAUAGUCACCUCCCCGUCGCGCUCCUGCCCUCUCCGCUGCUCCUUUCACGUCGCUUCCUUCGUGGGUGGCCUUCCCCUUCGCCUCCCUCCUGGCCGUGGUCGUCAGGUCGUCGUGGUUGGUUUUUGCCUCCCUCUGUUGUCUGUUCCGCGUCUUUUUUAUAGCGGAGGCGGGGGAGGCUCAGAGGGCUAUAGCGCGCGCGCGGGCCCGAGAAGAAGAAGGGGUACACUCAAACGGAACGGGGAGGGGGAGGGAGCAGCCAGCAGCGGAGGCGACGUGGUUGGUGUCGUGUCGUGGGGGCCCGGCGGGCAGCGGAAGCCGACCCGCCUCUACCACCGGCGAGCGGCCUCGUGGCGGCGGCAGGACGACGAGGACGACGACGAGCGGCAGAGGCAGAGAAGGUGCAGGGGCAGCGGUGCACCGGCCCUCGCCCUGUCUAGCCGCGAAGAGGCCGAGUCCCUGCGGCAGGGGAGGAGGCUCGACGAGGCGGCCACCAGCGGCCCGCGCCUGGUGACGAGGACCGGCCCCCAGCGGACGCUACGCUCCAUGGCCCAGCAGCGGGAGGUGCACGGGAGGUCGAAGGGCGCGCCCUCGCCCUCGCCCUAGCGGCCGGUCGACGGGUGCAGCCACCCCGAGGAGUGGCUCGAGUUCGUCGAGAGGGACGGGAGGGAGCCGGAAAAGCCGCUCUAGGGGCGCCUCUAGACCGCCGACCUCUUCGAACUCCCCCAGUUGGAGCGGCCCUUGAGCGAGGCCCCGCGAGAGGGCCCGCGGAAGGGCGGCGCCGACUCCCACGAGUUGGAGAGGAGGUUGCGCGAGUCGCCGCUCUAGGGACGGAGGGAGACGUCGACGUGCCUCAACUUCAAGAACCUAGAAAGACCGUUGGCCGAGUUGCCCAGGCACGGUCGCCAGCAGCCGCCGGAGGGGUCCAACUCCGUCGAGCUGGACAGGGCCUUGGAAGAACGCCCCUCGUAGGGGAGACGAGACCCCUCGACGUGUGUCGAGGCGAGCAACGCGGAGAAGAGGUUAUACAACCUGCCAAGGUAGGGUGGUCUCGAACCUGCUGACUCGUUCGACGCCCAAAACCUGCAUAGCCCAUUGUCUAACUCGCCAGACCACGGGUCCCUCGAUCCCUUAACGAGCCCAAACAGGCAAGAGCACAACAGCUCGGUCAAACUACGUCACUUUGGUGUACUCAAGUUAGAGAAACUCCCUCUCGAAGGCCUCUCACACUGUCGAAACGGUUUCGAAUCCAACAAUACCCGCGGCUUCCGUCCGGACGUUCCUUUAGAGGGUUCGUUAACCCCUUAGACGGUAUCAAACCUCUACCAAUUAGAGCCUCCAUUAAAUGAACGACCUCACUAUGGCUCCCUCGAUCCCGUCACAUCUUUGGAGUUCAAAGAGUUGGAGUCAAGGUUAUCUAACAGGCCAAGCGAACUAUUUUUAGAAGUAGACGUAACAUACCUACACAAACUACAGUCACCGUUGUUUGAGAGUCCGAGUUAAGGUCGCAGACACUUGUUUCUCACACGUAGCGUCGUUGGCGACCUACCGCACUGUAGACCGAUAAGAAGUGGGAAGUACAGGGCUCGACAUCGUCUCGAUAGUGACCCAAUGACACUUAGUCCUCUCACAAGCCAACAUAUGGUAUUAAAACGCUUCUUGUUCAAACCUCCGGCAGAAUGUAGGAACGGUGAAUCACGUCUGUCUAUACCUUUGUCCUGGAACAUACGUAAUUAAGAACUAGUGUUAUUGAAGUGACCUAGUAACCGACGUUAAGACAACCUUGUCACGUCGUUGAAUUUACCAAACUAGCAGUCGAAGGCUCUGUUGUUCUAUAGACCACUCGAGUGUCUUCUUUAGUCGAGUUUUACAGUACGGUAGUCUCAAAACCAAGAUCGGCUCUUAGUUUAAAGUCCUCACAACGGACGAUUGUAACCAGACAACCCACGAGAACAUUUCUACCUGUAAUCGUUUUUGAAAAACCACCCAGUUUAUGGACGGUCAAACUUUCUCGAGUUCUCGAACUUUAAAGAGAGCAAUCGGCGUUUGUUAUAGUCACCAGUCUAUGGCAGGAGAAACCCCGUUAACCUUAGCGACCUCCAAAAUCUAGAGAGUAGAUUAAGAGACAGACCCUUACAGGGAUCAUUACAACACUGUGACUCUCCAGAGUGCUGUGAAGACGACUUGUUAUUACUCGAGAGACCUUUGUAACGGCUAGAAUGGGGAAGUCAUAGUUACCGACAAAAAUUGUAAAGUAAGUUAUUGAACCGACCCGGCAACGUAAGCUUACACGCUCGUGAGUCACUCUUACUCCGAUCAGGUCUUGGACUCUUAUGUGGGUCGCUACCGCCUCCGAAGUGGUUUUAUCUCUAACGGAGUUAUUGGAGUCGUAGUCGCUAACAACGUCAAGAGAACCGGGACUAGUAGGAAAUGUAAAUGUGAGCAUUUACACGUAGUUCUGGUAGUUCCGCAAGAUUGUCCUCUUCCCUUCACUGACAAAAACACCUAUAACCACGAGGAAACUGUAUACUCUGGCAACAUGCGCGACGACCGUCAAAAUUACGUUCGUUAACGUAACCUUCACCACCGAAACCUCGUUGUAUGUUUCGACUCUAACGUGGUCCGUAAGACCACCGUUAUUUCUCCGAGCGAUAACCUUCCAAGGUUCCAUAAGUCGUCAAGGUUCGUCUCCACUUUUGAGAACCUUCCACAGCCGUACUGUUAGAACAUUGUGAGUAUCCCAUGGUGGAGUCACUAAGUCUCUACAAAGAUUAUAUGUUAAAAGACGGGCCGCCAUUGAACCUUUCCAAGUAUGUUCUUUCCCGUUUCUCUGGUUAACUAACCUCUUACGAAGUGUUUUAACGAGAUCUACAACGUGCACGUGAACGUAUGGAAGUACUAUUGACACAGGGUGCAUAAGACGUGGCCCUACACUUCGGUUCGUUGUAGAACGAACUGUUACUCAUGUGGCGUAUGGAAAGACUAAAACCUAAUCGUUCUGAUGAACCCUUAAGUCUUUGAGUACGUUGGUGGCCACAGCGCCCAUGAAAACCUAUACAACGAGGUCUCAUACGCUACUGAACGGCACAAAGACUAUUCCGACUACACAUGUCGAUACCUCAACAUGACGAACUUGAAUAAAGUCUGUUCUUUCGUGACCUGGGAAGGAAAAGAGGCAUACCUUUACCUAAGUUGUAUCAACGAACCCGAACGUACGAAGACGUCUUCCCGGCUCGAGCACUCAAGAAGUAUCUUCCCGACACCCUACACCGAGGCGUACUACUGAACCAACUCUAAGACGUGGAGCCAUAGUUCACGUGACACCUGAGAGAAAGAAGAUCCGGGUGUUACUUCGUUCAACAAGCCGCUGAUUUCCUUGAGUCCGGCGGGAGAAUGAUCCUAAACGUUGAGAUCAUACUGUAUGCAGAGUUCUGACUCUCAUUCUUUCGUUGGCGUCAUAGUCUCCCUACUUAAGCAACUAGGACUAGUUGUCUACUAAACGACAAUUUCGACAACUCCUAAGACAAACUGGUGUUGACGGUUCCUAUGAGGACCAUAGGUACAGUACAGGAGGUCAGUACACCAGCCACUGGUCGUAGUACACGUUCUAACCUAAUGACGUGCCGUAUCGCCACGGCGACUUUACCGGCGAGCUUCCCUGAGGCUCCCCUUCAUGACGACGCGGAUCGUAGUGAGCUACACUACGAUACUUUUGUUAACGAGCAGCAGCAAGUCGCCGGAACGACCUCAAGACAGCGUUAGGUGCUUUGUGUCAUUUUCGGAACAGGUCACCGGAGGCACCUUCUUUUACCCUUGGUCUCGUUCCGGUAUACUACUUCGAGUAGUAAGUUGAUAACCACCGGCCUCGCGUCCCUAAAAUAAUAGUUUUCAGCGACUAAUCAAUUGUACAACGAAAAGUCUUCGGAAACAUUGUAGUAUAGCAAAGGAACGACGAAAGACAAUUUUCUUUUUCGUCCCGGUACACCGGAAAAUGUAGAAGUAGAUUUUUUAUCACGCAUAGUAAAGGAUGUGAAUGUCGUUGGCUGUCUAUUAAACUCAUAAGACCCGUCUCGUCGCGCGUCAUCACCGUACGAAGUUUGCCUGCUGUCUACGUAUUAUAACUGUCACUUCCCCUUUUUUAAUCGACUCACUUCCUUUAUAGACUACUAUAUAACUUGUCUUCCACCAUGUAUCAAG
Molecule: ribosomal RNA, 4202 nt
Filed under: Triticum aestivum (bread wheat)
Lineage: Eukaryota; Viridiplantae; Streptophyta; Magnoliopsida; Poales; Poaceae
Description: partial small subunit ribosomal RNA
Source: RNAcentral